This 1782-nucleotide unclassified non-coding RNA is filed under the name Stegodyphus dumicola. RNAcentral's name for it is "mitochondrial import receptor subunit TOM40 homolog 1-like, transcript variant X2". Lineage: Eukaryota; Metazoa; Arthropoda; Arachnida; Araneae; Eresidae. The record is from RNAcentral.
UGCAUAAUAUUCGAGGCUAACUGUAGCUUUAGUCAUUUUCUCGAUGUAAAGAGCGAUAAUAUGCCGUGAACAUCAAUCCAAAUAUCAAUGUGUGAUAAAAAUUGCGAAAGUGAAAUAUCAGCAAUUAAUUAAUCUGAUAUAAUGAAAGCACUACGAGAUUUUCUACUAUUACGCCAUACAUUUAUAACUUCGAAACAAAUGCAAAUUAAAACGCAAACAACAUACGCUCGCAUGCACGACGAUUUAGCGUCACAAGAGCAAUAGAAGCUCAUUGGUCCAUUUUCGAAACUCCUCCCUCAGUGGCUACGCUGAUGUGCACCUGUGAAAUAUGCGCACCGGCACAGUUUAAGCUCUGUCAAAAGCCCAUUUUUAAGAACUUCAGAUUUCUACAAUGAGAGGUGUAAUGGAAUUUUCAUUACAGGAUAUUUAAAGGGAGUUCCUUCCAGUAUGACCAUUGAUACAGAAGACAAUAUUGCUGAAAAGAUUUGGUUCAAAUUCGAAAAUAAACUCGUUUGGACGCCUCCCUGCGUUACGCUGCAGCCUGUAUCUGGUGACAAAAGUGACAACUAUAGAAUGAUAAACUUUAACAUAAUGUUUGGAAGUGCAGCUUAACAUCAUACAGCACAUGUGGCAGAUAUUACAAACCCUCGCAUACUCAGAUUAGACACAAACACUUUUUCCUUGAACUUUAAAAAUAACAAUUGCAUUUUACCUCUGACGAUAUAACCCUGUUCAGAAUUAAAGAUGAAGGAAUUAAAUACGCCCACGAAAUAAUAGCUCAAGACGAUAUCAUGGAACCACCAUCAACAGAAUUCUUACUACUUGGAUCCAUAGAUAAAAAUAUAAAUUUUUGUUACGGUAUUAAUUGGAAUAUUCUAAAAUCUCAUCCUCCAUGUUCAAAAUGCCUUUCCUUCGCACCUAAGCUUGAUUUUUCGCCCAUCGGUUCAGAAAGACUUAGCGGGUGCAAAACAAGACAUCUGUCUACUUUGUCUGUCUUUUCUUCUAUUGUAUUCAAAAUGCAUUUAUAAAUUAGGAAUAUUUUAUUUUAUACUUUCGGUUGAGGCAACUCACUAGAACUUCAACUAUUGAAAAUCGAGCAUGGUGAUAUUAUGGACUGUCAAGGGUAUUCUGAACAACUAUAAGCGAGGUUUUUCUAAUUUUCUGACCGGGUUCCAGUUUUCUUUAGAGCAUAUUCCUUAGAGCUUUUAAGCUGAAUAAAUGGGGAACGUAUUUACUAUUGUCCAACCAACAAUACUGGAAUCAGUUCCUCCACCAAAUUUACCCAAGCAACCUUCGAGUUCAAAUUAUGAUCCAGGAAAAGAAACUUUACAGAUUUCAUCAGACCUUGAAUCCUGGAACUGUACAAGAUCUUCAUAAAAAGUGCGAGGAAAUAUCCAGUUUUAGCGGGUGCUGUUGAUCCUAGUGGCACGAUGACUGCUAAAAUGAUUCACAAAUACAAAAAUAUACAUGGAAUGUAUUUUACUCAGGGUCUAAUUAUAUUAUAAGUGGAACAUUGGGUCCAUAUGGUCUGCAUGCUUGUUAUUAUCGUAAGGAUGGUGAAAAUAUACAGGUGGGUGUUGAUCUGAAAACAAACUUUAGGUCAAGUGAAAGUGUAUGUUCUAUAGGAUAUCAAAUUGAUCUUCCUAAAGCAAAUUUAGUAUUUCGAGGUAAAACCGUUUAACAUUUUUAACUUUUCUGCCAAAUUCAUUAUUGAGCUGUUAACAAUUUUUAAGAAAAUAGUUUUUUACUCUUAUGUAUUUUAUUUUCAAUAUUAAGCUUCUA